Molecule: transfer RNA, 88 nt
Filed under: Candidatus Omnitrophota bacterium
Lineage: Bacteria; Pseudomonadati; Candidatus Omnitrophota
Description: tRNA-Ser
Rfam family: tRNA
About the family: Transfer RNA (tRNA) molecules are approximately 80 nucleotides in length. Their secondary structure includes four short double-helical elements and three loops (D, anti-codon, and T loops).
Source: RNAcentral
GGAGAGUUGCCAGAGUGGUUGAAUGGGGCGGUCUCGAAAACCGUUGUCUCCGUUUUGGGGACCGGAGGUUCGAAUCCUCCACUCUCCG